ACAGAGGGUGCAAACGUUGUUCGGAUUUACUGGGCGUAAAGCGCGUGUAGGCGGCUUCGUAAGUUGGAUGUGAAAUCCCACGGCUCAACCGUGGACGUGCAUCCAAAACUACGUCGCUGGAGUCUCGGAGAGGAAGGUGGAAUGCUUGGUGUAGAGGUGAAAUUCGUAGAUAUUCGGAAGAACACCAGUGGCGAAGGCGACUUACUGGACACAUAUUGACGCUGAGGUGCGAAAGCGUGGGGAGCAAACAGGA
RNAcentral lists this ribosomal RNA (253 nucleotides) under uncultured prokaryote. Its description in RNAcentral is "partial 16S ribosomal RNA". It matches the Rfam family "Bacterial small subunit ribosomal RNA", at positions 525 to 777 of the family's 1533-position model. The record is from RNAcentral.